UUUUCUUUAUAAUUUAGACAUAGAUUUUUUUUCCUAUAAAUGUAGGUUUUAUUAUUAUAUAAUUAUUUCAAAAUUUUCAAAGCACCAAAACUAUAAAAAGUUGAUUCUUAAAGCUAAUAUAUAUCUUUUAAAAAAUUUAGAGUAUUAGAUUGAUUUUGGUCACUAAAAUAUGAUUAGUACACUAUUUUGGGGGCUCUGAAAAAACAAGUGUGGAAAACAUUCACUGCACUUACCAAAUCACCUCUACACUCUCGAUAGUUUUUUUUGUCAACACUCUCGAUAGUUUAUAUUUAAGUAUAUAGUGAUAACUGAUAACAAAAUGUAUGAAAAUA
Molecule: long non-coding RNA, 332 nt
Filed under: Brassica napus (rape)
Lineage: Eukaryota; Viridiplantae; Streptophyta; Magnoliopsida; Brassicales; Brassicaceae
Description: long non-coding RNA (BNAP_LNC001979)
Source: RNAcentral